Molecule: ribosomal RNA, 484 nt
Filed under: uncultured bacterium
Lineage: Bacteria
Description: partial 16S ribosomal RNA
Rfam family: Bacterial small subunit ribosomal RNA
Source: RNAcentral
AUUGAACGCUGGCGGCAUGCUUUACACAUGCAAGUCGAACGGCAGCGCGGGCUUCGGCCUGGCGGCGAGUGGCGAACGGGUGAGUAAUACAUCGGAACGUGCCCAGUAGUGGGGGAUAGCUCGGCGAAAGCCGGAUUAAUACCGCAUACGACCUGAGGGUGAAAGCGGGGGAUCUUCGGACCUCGCGCUAUUGGAGCGGCCGAUGGCAGAUUAGCUAGUUGGUGGGGUAAAGGCCUACCAAGGCGACGAUCUGUAGCUGGUCUGAGAGGACGACCAGCCACACUGGGACUGAGACACGGCCCAGACUCCUACGGGAGGCAGAAGUGGGGAAUGUUGGACAAUGGGCGAAAGCCUGAUCCAACAAUGCCGCGUGUGUGAUGAAGGCCUUCGGGUUGUAAAGCACUUUUGGCGGGAACGAAAAGGACUGUGCCAAUACCACGGUUCGAUGACGGUACCCGCAGAAUAAGCACCGGCUAACUACGUG